This 489-nucleotide ribosomal RNA is filed under the name uncultured bacterium. RNAcentral's name for it is "bacterial SSU rRNA". It matches the Rfam family "Bacterial small subunit ribosomal RNA", at positions 28 to 507 of the family's 1533-position model. The record is from RNAcentral.
GAUAAACGCUGGCGGCGUGCUUAACACAUGCAAGUCGAACGGACUGAUGAGAGAGCUUGCUCUUUCUGAAAGUUAGUGGCGGACGGGUGAGUAACGCGUGGGAAACCUGCCUUACACUGGGGGAUAACAGAUGGAAACGCCUGUUAAUACCGCAUAAGCGCACGGUGCUGCAUGGUACCGUGUGAAAAACUCCGGUGGUGUAAGAUGGUCCCGCGUCUGAUUAGCUAGUUGGUGAGGUAACGGCCCACCAAGGCGAUGAUCAGUAGCCGGCCUGAGAGGGCGUACGGCCACAUUGGGACUGAGACACGGCCCAAACUCCUACGGGAGGCAGCAGUGGGGAAUAUUGGUCAAUGGACGGGAGUCUGAACCAGCCAAGUAGCGUGCAGGACGACGGCCCUAUGGGUUGUAAACUGCUUUUAUAGGGGGAUAAAGUGUGCCACGUGUGGCAUAUUGCAGGUACCCUAUGAAUAAGGACCGGCUAAUUCCGUG